GGGGAAAGAACAUUAGACGGAGAAAGCUGAAGAAGCAUUAUAUCAAGAGUGUUGUGGUUGACUGGAUUGCCAGUUGAUUUGCUUACUAAGUAUAGGCGAAGAUAUUCGUCCAACUCUUUGCUCUUUUUCUUUACUACCUAAACCAGAUCUUGAUUACUUAUAUGCUUCUAAUAUUUGUUUGUGCUUAUUCAUCCAUGAACUUAAAUAUUUAAUAUAAACGGGCUAAAACGUAUACACAUGCCUGUAACAUUGUUAGUUAAACUGUCAACAGUUGUAGAGCCAGUGAUGUGCUCAGAGGUUUACGCUUGAAUAUUCAAGCAAGUGCACAGCAAAAUGCAUUAGUAUGGUUAGGUAACUUUGCUAUUUUCCUGUGUUUUUUCCUUAACAUGCAAACAUAAAAGCACUGACGUAAAUAGCUUCUAAAAGGCUCAAAAAGGUUUAUAAUUUAUCUAUGGAUAACCUAGCUGUUGUAUAACGCUCUUUGAUGCUUUCUAGGAAUGAAGAAUAUUAGUUAAGAGAGUUACUUCUCCAACAACCUCAUUAAUGUUCGUUCCAAAGAAGAAUUCAAAAUCAAAACUCGCGCGGGUGCGCGGAUCAAGCUCUAGUUUGUUUUUAUAAUACAUAUACUUAAUAUACGUAUAACAACUAAAUUAGUUACGCUUAAAGUAGUAACUGCAGAGCUAAGUGAAAACAAAAAUGCGCAUGAAUGCAGGGGAAAGAACAUUAGACGGAGAAAGCUGAAGAAGCAUUAUAUCAAGAGUGUUGUGGUUGACUGGAUUGCCAGUUGAUUUGCUUACUAAGUAUAGGCGAAGAUAUUCGUCCAACUCUUUGCUCUUUUUCUUUACUACCUAAACCAGAUCUUGAUUACUUAUAUGCUUCUAAUAUUUGUUUGUGCUUAUUCAUCCAUGAACUUAAAUAUUUAAUAUAAACGGGCUAAAACGUAUACACAUGCCUGUAACAUUGUUAGUUAAACUGUCAACAGUUGUAGAGCCAGUGAUGUGCUCAGAGGUUUACGCUUGAAUAUUCAAGCAAGUGCACAGCAAAAUGCAUUAGUAUGGUUAGGUAACUUUGCUAUUUUCCUGUGUUUUUUCCUUAACAUGCAAA
This 1104-nucleotide long non-coding RNA is filed under the name Brassica napus (rape). RNAcentral's name for it is "long non-coding RNA (BNAP_LNC023391)". The record is from RNAcentral. Lineage: Eukaryota; Viridiplantae; Streptophyta; Magnoliopsida; Brassicales; Brassicaceae.